Molecule: ribosomal RNA, 253 nt
Filed under: uncultured bacterium
Lineage: Bacteria
Description: partial 16S ribosomal RNA
Rfam family: Bacterial small subunit ribosomal RNA
Source: RNAcentral
UACGGGGGGGGCAAGCGUUGUUCGGAAUUACUGGGCGUAAAGGGCUCGUAGGCGGCCAACUAAGUCAGACGUGAAAUCCCUCGGCUUAACCGGGGAACUGCGUCUGAUACUGGAUGGCUUGAGAUUGGGAGAGGGAUGCGGAAUUCCAGGUGUAGCGGUGAAAUGCGUAGAUAUCUGGAGGAACACCGGUGGCGAAGGCGGGAUCCUGGGCCAGUACUGACGCUGAGGAGCGAAAGCGUGGGGAGCAAACAGG